AAAUUGAAGAGUUUGAUCAUGGCUCAGAUUGAACGCUGGCGGCAGGCCUAACACAUGCAAGUCGAACGGUAACAGGAAGCAGCUUGCUGCUUCGCUGACGAGUGGCGGACGGGUGAGUAAUGUCUGGGAAACUGCCUGAUGGAGGGGGAUAACUACUGGAAACGGUAGCUAAUACCGCAUAAUGUCGCAAGACCAAAGAGGGGGACCUUCGGGCCUCUUGCCAUCGGAUGUGCCCAGAUGGGAUUAGCUUGUUGGUGGGGUAACGGCUCACCAAGGCG
RNAcentral lists this ribosomal RNA (278 nucleotides) under Escherichia coli. RNAcentral describes it as "partial 16S ribosomal RNA". It matches the Rfam family "Bacterial small subunit ribosomal RNA", at positions 1 to 275 of the family's 1533-position model. Lineage: Bacteria; Pseudomonadati; Pseudomonadota; Gammaproteobacteria; Enterobacterales; Enterobacteriaceae. The record is from RNAcentral. RNAcentral also lists the same sequence under 1 other name.